CCUACGGGAGGCAGCAGUGAGGAAUAUUGGUCAAUGGACGAGAGUCUGAACCAGCCAAGUAGCGUGAAGGAUGAAUGCCCUGUGGGUUGUAAACUUCUUUUAUCUGGGAAUAAAGUGUUCCACGUGUGGGAUUUUGUAUGUACCAUAUGAAUAAGGAUCGGCUAACUCCGUGCCAGCAGCCGCGGUAAUACGGAGGAUCCGAGCGUUAUCCGGAUUUAUUGGGUUUAAAGGGAGCGUAGGUGGAUUGUUAAGUCAGUUGUGAAAGUUUGCGGCUCAACCGUAAAAUUGCAGUUGAAACUGGCAGUCUUGAGUACAGUAGAGGUGGGCGGAAUUCGUGGUGUAGCGGUGAAAUGCUUAGAUAUCACGAAGAACUCCGAUUGCGAAGGCAGUUCACUGGACUGCAACUGACACUGAGGCUCGAAAGUGUGGGUAUCAAACAGGAUUAGAUACCCGUGUAGUC
RNAcentral lists this ribosomal RNA (460 nucleotides) under uncultured bacterium. RNAcentral's name for it is "partial 16S ribosomal RNA". It matches the Rfam family "Bacterial small subunit ribosomal RNA", at positions 338 to 795 of the family's 1533-position model. The record is from RNAcentral.